CUGCAACACUGUUUCACCACUAGUGAAGAUUUCCUCCUACAGGUGGGGGCCAGGGGCUUGAACCAGGGUCCUUGUGCACUGUAACAUGUGAGCUCAACCAGGGACCGAGAAAUAGAGCAAGAGAGGGGAAGCAAGAGAGAGGAAGAGAGACACCUGCAGCACUGCUUCACCACUUGUGAAGUCCCCCAGGUGGGACUGGAGGCUUGAACCUGGGUCCUUAUGCAUGGAUUUGAACUUGGGGUCUUAAAUGUGUGCAAUGCUGCUGACCAGUUUCCCGGUCCAAUUUUGUCUUUUUUAAUUUUGGAAGAGGAGGCACAGAAGAAAGCAGGAGCGACGCCACAGCACCUCUCCAUCACCCAAGGAGCCAUAAGCGCUGCUCCCACACGGGGCCAGGGACAGAACCCAGGGCCUUGUAUUCGGUCAUGCACAUGCUCCACCAGGGAACUCCAUUUCCAGCCUCAAGACCUGCCUGGUUUUAAUGGAGUUGGUUCUCCCUUAUCAAAGACACACUACAGAAUAGAUGUGCAGAGACCAGACUGUCACAUUGGCUCUGCUACUACUCCCUGAGCCCUGCACAGCUAGUCUCAUUGGGUUCCUAGCCCCUGCUCACCGCCCUGCUGGCCGGGGCAUUCUGGCGCCCGAGCGUGGGGCGAAGAAGCCUUCUGGACCUAGAAACUCAGCUGAUCGAGAGGGUAGGCCUACCCAAAUUCACUGAGUUACCGCGACCGAGGGGGUAACGCAAAGACUCGCAGAGAUCGCCACAGAACUACCCGACCGUGAGUCGCAUCUGGAGGAGAGUGUUCACAGCGGCUGAG
Molecule: long non-coding RNA, 815 nt
Organism: Erinaceus europaeus (western European hedgehog)
Lineage: Eukaryota; Metazoa; Chordata; Mammalia; Eulipotyphla; Erinaceidae
Exons: 5
Source: RefSeq, a predicted model, not a curated record